Molecule: long non-coding RNA, 4169 nt
Filed under: Capsicum annuum
Lineage: Eukaryota; Viridiplantae; Streptophyta; Magnoliopsida; Solanales; Solanaceae
Description: long non-coding RNA (CANN_LNC018380)
Source: RNAcentral
UCCGACCAGUUCAUCCCAAAUCUCACUGGAUGUAGGCAUUUAUAUUCAAAGAAAUUCAUUAUUGAUAUUGUAGACACCUAUUUUUGUCCCUUCCAAAUUCAAUUCAUCCAUUUUUAUAUCACGUUAUCAUAUACCUCCACCCAUGUGAUUAUUUAUCCACGAGAAAAAAACAAAAAUAACAAAACUUUUAACAAAAUGAACCACCCAACCAAUCAAAUUUUAACAAGCACUACCUUACCUAACCACCCUACCCCCUUUCACCCAUAUCGAACCCCACUCAUAUUUUUCCCAUUUUUGGUUUUUCCAUAACCGAAUCAGUAACAAGGAGAGAGAGAGGGGGAUACGGAUAGUGAGGGAAAAAAAAGGGCGAGAUACACAUAUCAUCAUCUUUCCAUGGAUUAGAAAUCAUAGGGAACAGAUCGAAGAGGGGUAGGGGGAAUUCCUUCUUGGCUUUCUUCUUCUCCAUCGAAAAUACAGAGACACACCAUUCUUUUUCUUUUCUCCAAGAACACACACACCUCUAGACCAAAUAUACUGCACAGAAAAGGGAGCAACAGAGAGAGAGAUUGGGACGCGAGAGAGAGAAACGAGGGUUGAAUCGAAAAGGUGAACGGAAAUCGCUACGAUUCUAGUGGGUUUGAGUUUUUCUGGCGACCUCUGCGCAAGAGCUGACUGUUUCUAAGAAUUGUAAAGCGACUUGGGCCGAAAAACAUCGAAAUUCACUGAAAAAUCCGACCCUUUCGUCAGUUUUUUUUUUGUGCUCUUCGCAGCCCUCGCCGGAGCUCCGUUUAGUAUUGAUUUGUUUUCUUCUGUUGGAUUCUGGGGAUUUUGGGACUCGUCGGUUUUCGUACUGUUUAUGGAAAUUUGGGUACUGUUUGGGUCUUAAUCAGAUUGUUGUGAUUAGUUUUGGAUCGUUGUUCCGCUAUUCGGGUCGGAAUCAUCGCUUUUGAGGUUCUAUUCCAAGUUUCAGGUCUGGGUUUUUGAUAUUAUCGACGAAAGCAAGAUCUAUUCAGGUCCAUUUCUUUCACUCGUUCUCUUUUCUUCAUUUCGAUUGGUUGCAUUACGUGUUGGUCGAUUAUGAGGGCUUGAUUUUGUUGGUAUUGUUUUGCUGUUUAAAUUCGUGAGUAUGGAUUGAUGAAAUGGUGAUUGAUAAAAGGGAUUUGGUGGGGGGGGUUGAGAAUUGAAAAUUAACAAAAAGGAUAAAUUUGGUUUAAUUUUGAUUUAUUGUUGAUAUGAAUCGUGAUAGAUUUAUGAUGAGUUGAAACGAAUAGGCAAUAUAGGUUUGGGUAGACAAAUUUUAGAACUUGUUGUUUUGAUUGAAUGUUGGAAUGUGUGUGAAAAUGUUUCUUUCUAGUUCAUUGUAUUUAAUUCAAAUGUAUUUAUUUAGUCGGAGAAUGCCCCGAAGUAUUUGGUACCCGGAGGACGUUCGUGACGAAGGCCCGAGGCUUCGGGUAGAGCAUAGUCUAUGAUUAGCUUAUAAAUUGGAUUUAUAUUUUUACAUUUUUCUAUUUUUGGAUUGUAUAAUUGGACUGGACAUUAAAUUUUGGAUUGUUUUUGUGUUGUUCGCUUGAUUGAUUGUUUUUGUGUGCUUUGUAUGGUUUAUACAUCCUUAGUGUCAAAAAUUAGCCGAGAUGCUUCACCAAACGAUCGUGGUCAAUCUAGGGAUCGAGGGGUGCCUAACACCUUCCCUUCGGUCAAUAGAAUUCCUUAGCCGUAAUAUCUGUUCGCGGAUCAGUUUUAGAGUCGAACCGUUUUGAAAACGGAUUUCCAAAGGUGACUUGGCACACCCAAUUUAUGCCAAGUGGUGACUCUAAGUUUUGAAUGUAAAUAAUUCUUUUCGAAACAAAUUAUCUUCAUUUUGUUACUUUAAUAAUAAAAAUCCUUUCGAAAUUUAAAAUCGAUCUUUUUUGAAGUUAAAAGGGGGUGUGACAGAUAUGUUUCGACAUUAUUUGUUAGUUUAAAAAUGUUUGUAUUAAUUAUCACAGAGUACACGUUCAAUGUAUGUAUUCAAAAAUAUUUUUCUUUCUAUAGCUAUGAAGUUGUAUGUUCACAAACUCAUAAAAAUGUUAGUGUUAUUCAAUUUAUAAUCUUUAUCGACUUGUAAUUAUUAGAAAUUUUAUGGACUUACACACACCUCUCUCUCUAUAUAUAUUGUAUUAAGGAUGAUUGCAUAUUGAUUGUCAUUGUUAAAAGCUGACCUAAAUUAAAGUUAUUUGCCAUAAAGUUUAAUGUUAAUGGGUCUAAAAGACACCUCAUAAAGUACGGGGGAUCUUAAGUGAAGAUAUCAAGGUGUAAUAUUUAAUUUAAUAAUGGGCUAAAUUAGAAUUACAUAAAUUAGUGUCUAUUAUAGAUACAGGAUUGUGCUAGAGUUGAUCAAGUAAUUGACUUUUUCAUUCUUAAGUAAUUGGUAUGAGUUCAUUUAGUUAGUUGGGUUGAUAUCAUAUUUAUAUUUGUUGUUUUUAUCUAGUCAGUAUUGUGCUAGUUAAUUGAGUACAUAUAUAUAGCAGAGGUUCAUCUCAUUUUAACAUAGAUUUAUAUAUUUAAAUAUUCCUUAAUCAAUGAAACGACGACUGCCUCCAAUUUAUUAGUCAGUCUUACUCGAUUUGAUAUGUUAACAUAGUAUCAGAGCGUGGAUCCUGAUUUUCUUUCUUGUGACGUUAUCCUUGAAGGUUUAUCUGAGUUUUUAAUCGCGAUUUGAAAUUUUUAGGAAUUCCGACAAAUCUAUUAUCAUAGUUCCGCUGUCACUGGUUUUCAAUUCAUUUUUGCUUAACCUUCUAGCUUCGCUAUCAUCUUUGCAUUUUUAGGUGAUUUUUUUGUCUCACGGCUAUGCAAUGUCUUAAGUAGAUUUAAUUCCUUAUUUACAUCUCCCACUAUUAGUGAGUUGUGAGAUGUUUUACAUAUUUUUGAUACUUAAGUUUGUUCGGGUUUUUUUUCCAAGUCCUAUUUUUUGUGCUUCUAAUACGUUUGAUAACUUAAGAACAUAUACAAAUCAUUUUUAUUAUAAAAGUGACCUGACCCAAACUCGAUAAAAGUGAAAAAUCAGACAAAAGUUAGGCAAAUUAGGAAAGUCCUUUUGAUUUCCACACAAGCCGACUAUUUGCCUUCUACUCGUUGUCAUCGAUAUCCAUGGAAGAUCGAUGUUUGUUUACCAGCAUCAUGUCUAUGUAACAAGCUGACUAUGAUUCUCAUUGAUGCUGCCAAUUUGUUACUUCACCUUAAGUUACUUUUGCCCUUACCUUCUUCCAUUUCCUAACUCAGUGAGUUGAGUGAGCUUAAUGAAAGUUAAUACCACCAUCUAAGCUCCAAAUUUGAGUUCAGUAAGCUAAGGUUAAGAAUAACAAAAUUUUUGUUCGUGCGAUAGGUUAGUCAUGUCUAUAAGUUAAGAUUUCCAACAUAGGUUUUAAAAGAAAUUGUAUAUUAUAGCACGUAAUUUGACUUAUUUUUUAGGUUACUAAUCCUACUUUAGAUGGUUAUUUUUACAAGUCUAUACAAUAUUAUCAUUUUUAAUUUCUUCCAAUAAAAACCAUUGACAUAGUUUAUUGUUAAGUAUUAUUAUUGCUAGUUUUGGGAGACGUGUGUUCCAUCCUAGCGUGGACUUUUCUGCCAAAAAUUAAAUUUAUUUAAAUUAGUCGGAUUCAAAGACAUAUAACACCCCUCCGCCCUUGGCUCCCCUCCAAAAAAAAAAAAAAAGGUGUUAAGAACAUGAGCAAAAAUGUCAAAUUUCCUUAUGUCAUAUUUGUAAGAGAAUUACUUUUGUUCUAAGUUAAACUAUUCGUCUAGCAUUAUCUUUCUUUUUUGAUAAAUUUAUACACGUAAAAUCCACUCAUUUCAUGGUAAAGUUUCUUUAAUUGAAUUACUUUAUAUUACUAUUUUCUAACCACAAGUUUAUGAAUAAACCAAAAGUAACAAAUUUCAAAAUUAAGCAAUUUUAAAUAUAGGACUACAUAUAGAUAAUUUUGAAUAUUUUUCUUAGAACAUAUAUCUAGAAUACGUCAAAUAGCAUUUAUACGUAUGAUUUUGACAUCCCAACUAAAUUAUUUAGGUGUAUCUCUUGAAAACAAACUGUAAUCAAGAGUAUUUAAUACAUACGUACAUAAAUAAAUAAAUAAAUAAAUAAAUAAAUAGUCAUGAGUUCAAAUAUUGAAUACUUACCCUUGCAUACUUUUCUU